GUUAAGUCGGAUCUCACUGGAGCCUUCAUCGGAAGAGGUAGAGAAUCUUUUUGCAUUCAAAUAAUAUCCAUAUCUGGAUUCAUCAGAGAAAAUAAAUAUGAAUAUGGAUAUAUUCAUAUUCGAUCUGUAUCUAGUUUAGUUUCAGUCCUAGUUUAUCCUAAACAGUUGAAGCGGAUAAGCUGGUUGGUUCACCUGUUCCUGUGAUGCAUUGGAGAUUGCAUAGUUUGUAAGCUUGUUGAAUGCAAAUUAAACAAGUACUAAAAAGUUUCCUCAAGACUAAAUGAGUUUUUUAGCAUUUAGCUGCAAUGCCAUCAGAGGUCUUCAUUUCUGUAUUGAUUUCACUAGCAUCUUAGUUUUGACCGUGUUUCCUGAAGGAGGCACUUGAAAUCAACUUUGUGUAACCUCGUUGAGAAAAUAAUGAUAAUAAUAAUUGUAAUAAUAGUGUUUGCAUGGUUGGUUUUUCGCUUUAUGAAGUUGCAAUCUGAAGCAGCUCGAAUAAAUUAUGCUGAAAAAUUACGCUACCAAUUUUUUAGCUACUAUCAGAUGCAGCUCGAACAAAUUAUGCUGAACCAAUUAGCAGGCUGAAACAAGAAUGACGGAGGCUUGUGUUGAAGGUGGUUCCAUUUGAACGGUGCUUGUUUUCUCAACCAUUGUGCUUUGAGAUUAUUGCUACGGUCCUGUUUUCGAUUUGGCUGACCGUAGCACCUACUGUUACCGGAGAAGUAUGGUGGGCAUUCCUACGAAUCAUGCAGGGACCUCGAAGGUGGGAGCUAAGCCGGAUCUAAGUUGGAAAAGG
This 796-nucleotide long non-coding RNA is filed under the name Elaeis guineensis (African oil palm). RNAcentral's name for it is "long non-coding RNA (EGUI_LNC026987)". The record is from RNAcentral. Lineage: Eukaryota; Viridiplantae; Streptophyta; Magnoliopsida; Arecales; Arecaceae.